UGCAAGUCUUUUUAAAGUGAAUACAAAAUAUUAAUAUUUAUUUCGGGGGCGAAAUAUUUACGGUUUCUGACUUAUGCAGUGAAUAAUAAGAUUCAUAAGAAGGAAUAGAGUUGAUGAAAUCUUUAAUUUAUUUCAUCUAAUGGUUGUUUAAUGUUUUCUUGUCUAAUACAAAAUGGCCCCGGCGCGACGAUCCAUAGGAAGAGUUGUUAUGUUCCUUUUGUUUUUUAGUGGUCCACUAAUACGAAAAAAAUAAUGUGUUUUUGAAAAACUUUUUGUAGACUAAAACUUUCAUUCCUUCAGAGUUACAUAAUUAGUAAUGUCUUGUCAUUUGUCUCCUUGAGUUUUCAUUAGUACUGUAGUUACGAGACUUGGAAACAACUGUAGUAUAUGAAACAUGAUGUUUUCAAGUCAAAAUUUGCCAAUGCAUAGAAUUCAUUGAAUAACUUGUUUUGUUGGUCACUGUUUAUUUACAAAUUGCAUUUAUUUGGAAAUGGACACAAUCCUAACUUUUGUGUCUUAGCUGAUACAGUUAUGGCCUGCAAUUGACAUAGUCCUCUCUUUUAGCACAUCUUAAUUUUUUUACAUUCAGGGCCCAACUCUCAUUGUUUCUUAAUAUCUUCUUUGGUUUCCUUGCAGUUCCGCCUUCUUGUAUUUCUAAACUUCCAGCCACAUCCAGUCUAUCUUGUAAAAUAUCUUCCAAAUCUGAGGAAGAAUGCUGUUCUGAUGGACAAUAUUUGGACCCUGAAUCUGUGAAGAUUUAUUAUUAAGAUUAUCAAAUCAGAACCAAAAAUCACUAAAAAAUAUAAUUAUAUUUUUUAGUAAAACAUUUAACAUCAAAACAAGCAUGAUAAUCCUUAAUUUGCUGUACUUACACCACAGAAAGAGAACAAUUAAACAAUAAAAGUAUGUUUGUAGAAACUUGUUAACAAAGUUUUAGAGUUGAAAAAGUGAGCCGUUUUGAAAAUUGACAGCAGCUGUUAGCCUAUCCCGCUAAAACUAUGUGUUACCAGUACUGCUCAUAAUCAUAACCAUGUCUUGUUGAUAGGUUUCUACUUGGUAUAAAAAAAGCCUUUUUCAUUGAUCUCUCUUACUUUCCCUUAUCCACACCUAAGUUGAGACCAAUUUCAUCAAGUCCCUGUAUAAAUUCUUCAAGUAGCCUCUCUGAUUUCAUUUGCUAAUUCAGAUUGUCAUUUCUAUAUUUGAGUAUAUUUAUUUAUAUUUUAUUAGGACUUAUUAAAAAAUACUUGAAUCUAUACAAUUACACAUUAUUAGAUGUACAACUUAUUAAAAUGAUGUCUAUCAUUUAAUAAAACAUCAUUUACAUAAGUUUAAUACUUAUUAUAUACAACAAAAUUAGGUAAACUAUGAAUAUAGGUAUAGACCAGUAUUAUUAUUAGUUGUUACAAUUUAAGGCCAUAAAAAUCUUAUUGCUAGUUUUUUAAAUUUGGGUAAUGUCAUGAAAUAUAUUUUAUAAUUGAAGGGUCUAUAAUGCACCAUAAGAAACAGUUGUCACCAGUCUCAUAUUAUUUGUUUUGGUGUAGGCUACAUAUCAGAUAGCACAGAGAAUCAGACUACAUCUUCAGACUUUUGGAAUCUAUUAGCAUUUUGUUCCACUUAAAUAUAUUUUUCCCAAUUAUUAUAUGUUGGCAACACCUAAAUUUGUCUUUCACCAAAUCUAAUGAUGUUAUUGUUUUGAUUCAUUGUUCGCAAAACUUUGCUUAUGGAUAAUUUAUUGAUUUUGAUCAAUAUUUCAAUAUUUGGAUUAAGGCUACUUUGCAAUUCCCUAUUCAACUUGACGAUAAAGUCAGACACACAUUUCUUUGAUUAUAUUUGUGACAUAUUCAUUCAAAAUAAGUUUAUGAGCAUCAGUUUCAAAAGCAUACCCAAGCGUAGUGUAGAGGUAUAUCGACGGUUAAAAGCGACACUGAGUGGGUUAAAAAAAAGGUAAUGAGGUACUUCCACACAUCAAGAUUUCCAUACCAAAAGGAACACGAGAACAUCCAACAUACGGCAUUACCUGGGCAAAUUGUAACGUGGACUAAAUGUCACGUCUUAAAAAUAAUAGAUACACAACCAACAUGAUUCUUCUUUAAUAUUUAAUAUAAGACUUAAGUAAUUGCAUACAUUUAAAGUGUUAGUGUUACCCAUCAUCAUCAUUGUUUGUACUAGAUUACCUGCCUACAUUACUAUUUUAUAAUUAUGCUCCGACCUAAUUGUUGAUGUGAUUAAAUGAAAAGAAAAAUACGGUUUUAGACUUUUUAUUAAAAAAAAAACACAAUUAUAAAAGAAAAAUAGUUUUCACAAAAAAAUACAAAAACCACUAACAAAGUGUGGUAGUUACCACAUCAAAAUAAAGGGUAGGAAAGUUAAAGGAACUACUAUUACUUUGGGGUAAAGGAACUAUUAUUACUUAGUGGUCUUUUAGACGAUAAAUCUUAUCGUAAAAGCACUUCAAACAAAUCGACUGCAUAGCAACAGGUCAAUUGUUUACAAUGUGUUACUUAACAGGCUAAUUGAGAUCAAUAUUAAAAUCAAAUAAUAUAUAUUAAUCAGUCUUAAUUAGGUAUCUCCUGAAGAUUAAUUUAAGUAGGUCUUAAGGACGCAAAAACCUUAAGAAAAAAAGUGCACAAUCAUCACAAAAUAGAUAAGUUGACUAUUGGUCAACAUUAUCUUCGAUGUCAGUAUCGGGCAAAGUAUCUUUCACCUUUUUGUUGAAAGUUAAAGAUUGCCAUUGACUCUGCCUGAAACUGUUGAGGUAUAACUUGGUCUGAGCAAAGCUUCAAUAAAUCUUUAUGUUUAUUUUCAGUAAUUGGAAGGGGUGUAGGAUAGCAGUCUGGUAAUUCCAGAAACUUUGUUUUGGACGCGACUUCAAUACGGGACACAGGUGUCUCCGGAUCCAUGGAGAAUUUAACCGUUGCUGAUGUACGGUUCUUUUUAAAAGUGGCGACCCGUAUUUUACUUAUUUUACCCACAAGAUUUCCCACGAAAUACUUGUCAGCGAGUAGGUCCCAUCUCUUAAAAUCCUUGUGAGUUAAACGCUCAACAUCAAAGGGCUUUGGUUUUUGUCGUGCCGUUUGGAAUACCGUAUACCAUUGAGAAGGAGCCCAAAUAGUGGUAUUUUUAACCUGGUUUUCAAUCGUCUCAUGUGCCGAAUCGACGGUCAUGUAGGUAUGACCGGUAAGUAAGAAAUUUAUUUAAAUAGAUUCAAUAAUUCUGCAACGUUGGAGAGUCUCGUUCAGCAUUGCAAGAACAAUUUUGUUCCGAUUUUGACCGGGACAGCAGUCACAAUAAAGAAGAAGUCGUCUUAUAUUCCCGCGUUCGUCAAGCUUCGUUAUGUAUUUGCUUAAUAUUGUAGCCAUCUCAUUGGCACCGCGGUUACCCUGGCUUUCGUCCCAAUAAUAGCAAUAAACAUUGCGAGUACCAUUUUCGUAAAUAACUGCAUUUUAAACGGCCAGCUUGCGUGUAUAAAACAAUAACAUGCUAUCACCAUACGGUGUGUUCAAGACUUUUUGUAAGUCAAAACUAAUGCAAAUGGAUGCUGAGUCUUGUAAAUGAAUAGUUUUGUGCAUCUUGUAGCGAUUGUAUGUAUGGUCUUUCUCAAUAAGGUGUACUUCGUGAGCUAGUCGUUGUUCUGGUGUAAGAUCAGUUUUAUUUUCGUACUGACAACAUUUCAGGCAUUUGUCUUUUUUCGGGAUAUGGAAUGCUAUAUUAAAGUUUUCAUUGAAAACUUUUCGGAACAUGGCCUCCGAAACAAACGUCAGUCCUUGACAGAUACGAUGUUCUUUAUACUUUCUAUAUAAAUUGGCCAAGUUUUUGUAUUCUGCUGGAAGGUAUGUUCGAGUACUAUCCUUCCUACAAUAAUGAGAAGGAACCGCUGGUAAACAUUUUAUAUAGUUUUCAACCGCUGCCAUUUCAUCGUUACUGGUUUUGUUGGGGGGUACACCUUUACCCCUAUCAGAUUCUUUGGCACUACCAAACUCAUCGGCAGUCGAAACCGUGUAGUAAACUUUAGCAGUAGCAACUUCUCCAUUUGUUUUAAUGUAACUCUGACCAGAUAACCGUUUUUGGGCAGCUUGUUUUCUCUUAUUUUUAGGAACUCUUCUUCGACAAACUCUUUUUCGACGUCAAGAGUGACUUGCUUCCUUUUCUUGCCGUUUCGUUCCGGCUCCCACUCAUCUGAGCUUCCUGCAUCGCCAAAGGCGUUUAGCAAAGCUAUCUCUUCGUCUGACAUAUAAUCUAAAUAAGAUGGUUUCUUUCCUGGACGGGUGAUUCUAAAUGAGGAGGAUUGAGUGUUGUUAGCGUCGGUUCCCGAAGAUGUACCUGGAAGAACUUCCAACGGUUGUAGGGAAACAUAAGAGCGAACGAAGAUCGGCUCGGAAUUUGGAAUACUUGAUACUUAGCUGGACAAUACCAUUGUAGGUGAAUCAUUACUGUUGAGUUUAGUCGCAAAGGAUGUGCUAGGAACAUCUCGGAGCGAUAUUCCAAAGAGAUUUGACUCGGUGAUUGGCGGCGUGGAGUUCCAGCAGGCAGCAGACGCAGUGUGGGGCACGGAACUUGUGAGGAUGGCAGACGCAGCAUACAGCGCGGAGCUCGUGAGGAUGGCAGACGCAGCGUCGGGCUUGGAGCUCGGGAGCACGGCAGACGCAGCAUACAGCGCGGAGCUCGUGAGGAUGGCAGACGCAGCGUCCAGCGCGGAGUUCGUGAGGAUGGCAGACGGAGUAUCAGGCGCGGAGCUCGUGAGGAUGGCAGACGCAGCGUCCAGCGCGGAGCUCGUGAGGAUGGCAGACGCAGCGUCCAGCGCGGAGUUCGUGAGGAUGGCAGACGCAGUAUCAGGCGCGGAGCUCGUGAGGAUGGCAGACGCAGCGUCCAGCGCGGAGCUCGUGAGGAUGGCAUUCGCUUCAUCCAUCGGGGAGCUCGUGAGGAUGGCAGAUGCAGGGUCCAGCGCGGAGCUCGUGAUGAUGGCAUUCGCUUUAUCUGUCGGGGAGCUCGUGAGGAAGGCAGAUGCAGGAUCCAGCGCGGAGCUCGUGAUGAUGGCAGACGUUUCAUCCGGCGCGGAGCUCGUGAGGAUGGCAGACUUCUGGAAAAAAGGUACCGCAGAACAAAGAAGAGUGGAAAGAAAUAGAAUUAGGCUUCAGAACAAGGUGGAAUUUCCCUGGUUGCCACGGCGCUAUAGACGGGAAGCAUUUUAAUUACAAGGGUUCCAACAGUGUGGUUAUGAUGGUUGUGGUGGAUCAUGACUAUUGUUUUCGAUAUGUAAAUAUUGGGGCUAAUGGAAGAAAUUCAGAUGGGGGGAUAUUCAAAAACAGCAAAUUACGUAGUGAUCUUGAGAAUAAUUUGCUUCCAAAAGGAGGAUUUUUAGUUGGAGAUGAUGCGUUUCCACUAAAAUCAUAUUUAUUAAAACCAUACAGUGGCACAAAUCUUUCAACGAAACAAAAAAUAUUCAAUUACAGAGUCUCUAGAGCACGGAGAAUCGUCGAAAAUGCAUUUGGUAUUCUGGCAAGCAGGUUGAGAAUUUUUCAAAAACCCAUACCAACUAAUGACGAAACCACCGAUAAAGUUAUUCGCGCCUCAUGUGCGCAGGCACAAUUGGUUACGUCUCACAAGUCUCGGCCAUUACUUUCAUGGGGUUGUGUUGAUGAAGAAGAUAUAGAUUCAGGAUCCUUUUCUGAGGGGAGUUGGAGGCGAGAACUUAUAGCUACUUUGCCAACUAUCACUGAUCACAGCACCAACAAUGCAGCACGUACAGCAAGGGAGCUUCGAGAUAAAUAUGCAGAGUUCUUCAGUGGGGCAGGUGCCGUAUCGUGGCAAAACAGAAUGAUUUCAUAAUUUUAUUUAAGAAAUAGGGAAAACUAGGGAAACUUCAUCUCUAAGCGACAUAUUUUAACGAUGUUAUAGAUAUUUUAAUCGGUAAUAACAGUAGAAAUCUCCCAAAUGUACGGUGAACUGGUAUUUUUUCAUGGUAAUUCGGCCGAAAACUACUCUCCCUGAUAUUAUAUCAGGAAGAGUUGAUUAUUUAUUAAUUUAUGACCGGAAAUAUAAUAAUAACUUGGCCUCUUUCGAAUGUUUGAUAAAUAUUGAAAUUAUAAACCGGGAAGUAUAAUACAGUCAACGACGGUAAAAAAUAUAAUAAAUUAGCGAUAAAAAUAAAAAUAGGGAAUCAAGUGUCCCCAGUCUCCCUUAUCUACAUUAUAACAUAAAAAGUAACAAUAAAAAAUAAAGUAAAGUAUGCAUUUAUUCAUGACAUCACAAAACAUAUAUACAUAGUUAAAUUAACAAAUAAAAAAAUACGGGGUCAUGAAAAGGACACCCACUCAGUAUUUUUGGAAAUGAUUUCCAGUACUGAUUUUCAGUAGGUACCUACCAAGUCGACUCGU
This is an RNA transcript of Leptidea sinapis, 6374 nucleotides long. RefSeq lists it as uncharacterized. The record is from RefSeq and is a predicted model, not a curated record. NCBI's taxonomy places the organism in Eukaryota, Metazoa, Arthropoda, Insecta, Lepidoptera, Pieridae. The transcript has 2 exons.